UGGGCAAUCUGCCCUUCACAUCGGAAUAACCAUUGGAAACGAUGGCUAAUACCGAAUAUGACUUCGGAUCGCAUGAUCUGAAGUGGAAAGCUCCGGCGGUGAAGGAUGAGCUCGCGGCCUAUCAGCUUGUUGGUGAGGUAAUAGCUCACCAAGGCGACGACGGGUAGCUGGUCCGAGAGGAUGACCAGCCACAUUGGGACUGAGACACGGCAGA
Molecule: ribosomal RNA, 214 nt
Filed under: uncultured bacterium
Lineage: Bacteria
Description: partial 16S ribosomal RNA
Rfam family: Bacterial small subunit ribosomal RNA
Source: RNAcentral